AGGCGCGUAGCUCAGUUGGUUAGAGCGCUUCCUUGACACGGAAGAGGUCGUUGGUUCGAAUCCAAUCGUGCCUACCA
RNAcentral lists this transfer RNA (77 nucleotides) under Occallatibacter riparius. Its description in RNAcentral is "tRNA-Val". It matches the Rfam family "tRNA". Rfam says of the family: Transfer RNA (tRNA) molecules are approximately 80 nucleotides in length. Their secondary structure includes four short double-helical elements and three loops (D, anti-codon, and T loops). Further hydrogen bonds mediate the characteristic L-shaped molecular structure. tRNAs have two regions of fundamental functional importance: the anti-codon, which is responsible for specific mRNA codon recognition, and the 3' end, to which the tRNAs corresponding amino acid is attached (by aminoacyl-tRNA synthetases). tRNAs cope with the degeneracy of the genetic code in two manners: having more than one tRNA (with a specific anti-codon) for a particular amino acid; and 'wobble' base-pairing, i.e. permitting non-standard base-pairing at the 3rd anti-codon position. RNAcentral also lists the same sequence under 11 other names. The record is from RNAcentral. Lineage: Bacteria; Pseudomonadati; Acidobacteriota; Terriglobia; Terriglobales; Acidobacteriaceae.